AUGCAGAAGCUCCAGCUCGCCAGCCCGACCGCGGUGUCCGUCCCGGCGCUCUUCCUCUUCGUCCUCUUCCUGCUCGCCGCGCGCCAGCAACGCUCGCUCCUCGACACCUACAGGUCCGGGUUCGCCUCCGUUUCCUCGUCGGGGUCGCCGCGGCUCGAGCCCGGGCGUCCUGCCGUCGCCCGGGUGCCCAAGGGAUGCGACAUUUUCCGGGGCGAGUGGGUGCCGGAUGACGGCGGCGAGCCGUACUACACGAACCGGACCUGCCCGCUGAUCCAGGAGCACCAGAACUGCAUGAAGUACGGCCGCCCCGACCUCGGCUUCCUUAGGUGGCGCUGGCGGCCGGCGCAGUGCGAGCUCCCCCGGUUCGACGCGGCGGCCUUCUUCGACGCCGUCAGGGGCCGCUCCAUGGCCUUCGUCGGGGACUCGCUCGCCAGGAACCACAUGCAGUCCCUCAUGUGCCUCUUGUCCAAGCUGGAGUACCCCAAAGACAUUUCCACGACGAAAAACCAAGAAUUCAGGACAUUGUACUACGAGUCUUACAACUUCACCAUCUCCACCUUCUGGUCGCCGUUCCUCGUCAAGGCGAACCAGUCCGACGCCGACUACGGCAGCGGUCGGCUGUGGAAUAUCUACCUCGACGAGCCGGACGACGCCUGGCUGCCCGGCGUGGCGGGCGCCGACUACCUCGUCCUCUCGGGCGCGAACUGGUUCACGCGGCCGUCCCUGUUCUACGAGUCCGGCCGCCUCGUCGCCUGCCACUACUGCCUCGUCCCGGGCGUGCCGGACCUCACGCUGCGGCACUCGCAGCGGGUGGCGUUCCGCACGGUGCUGCGGGCGGUCACGAGCCACCCGGGCUUCAACGGGACGGCGAUCGUGCGGACGGUGUCGCCGACGCACUUCGAGGGCGGGGAGUGGAACAAGGGCGGCGACUGCCGGCGGACGCGGCCGUACGCGGCGAACGAGACGCGCAUGGCCGGGCUGAGCCUCGACUUCCACACGGCGCAGGUGGAGGAGUUCGCGCAGGCGGAGGAGGCGGCCAGGAGGAGAGGAGGGGGAGGCGCGAGGCUGGUGCUCAUGGACACCACGGCGGCGAUGCUGCUCCGGCCGGACGGCCACCCGAGCCGGUACGGGCACUGGGCGCACGAGAACGUGACCCUGUAUAAGGACUGCGUGCACUGGUGCCUGCCGGGCCCGAUCGACGCGUGGAACGAGAUGCUGCUCCAGAUGGACAUCUCCAACGUUGGCCUUCAAAACGGACGCAGUAUCUGUCCGCGGACAGUGACGUAA
This 1287-nucleotide ribosomal RNA is filed under the name Triticum aestivum (bread wheat). Its description in RNAcentral is "partial small subunit ribosomal RNA". The record is from RNAcentral. Lineage: Eukaryota; Viridiplantae; Streptophyta; Magnoliopsida; Poales; Poaceae.